GGCACACCCCAGAUACCCUUUGUGAACUUAUACCUUUUUAUCGUUGCCUCGGCGCUGAGCCCGAGGGGGCGGGAUACUUCUUCUCCCCCCCCCUCCCCUCACCGUGCAAACGGUGCUGGAGCAGGCCCGCCGGCGGCCCAUUUUAAACUCUUUUGUUUUUAGAACGUAUCUCUUCUGAGUAACAAACAAAAAAAAAAAAAAAAAAAAAAAAUGAAUCAAAACUUUCAACAACGGAUCUCUUGGUUCUGGCAUCGAUGAAGAACGCAGCGAAAUGCGAUAAGUAAUGUGAAUUGCAGAAUUCAGUGAAUCAUCGAAUCUUUGAACGCACAUUGCGCCCGCUGGAAUUCCAGCGGGCAUGCCUGUUCGAGCGUCAUUUCAACCCUCAAGCCUGGCUUGGUGUUGGGGCACUACCCGUCAAACGGUAGGCCCUGAAAUUUAGUGGCGGGCUCGCUAAGACUCUGAGCGUAGUAGUUUUUUCCACCUCGCUUUGGAAGGAUUAGCGGCUGCUCUUGCCGUAAAACCCCCCCAUAUCU
This 533-nucleotide unclassified non-coding RNA is filed under the name Microthia sp. Mnep1. RNAcentral describes it as "sequence contains ITS1, 5.8S rRNA gene, ITS2". The stretch from base 220 to 373 matches the Rfam family "5.8S ribosomal RNA". Lineage: Eukaryota; Fungi; Ascomycota; Sordariomycetes; Diaporthales; Cryphonectriaceae. The record is from RNAcentral.